This 373-nucleotide ribosomal RNA is filed under the name uncultured organism. RNAcentral describes it as "partial 16S ribosomal RNA". It matches the Rfam family "Bacterial small subunit ribosomal RNA", at positions 527 to 896 of the family's 1533-position model. The record is from RNAcentral.
GUAGGUGGCAAGCGUUGUCCGGAAUUAUUGGGCGUAAAGCGCGCGCAGGCGGGUUUCUUAAGUCUGAUGUGAAAGCCCACGGGCUCAACCGUGGAGGGUCAUUGGAAACUGGGGAACUUGAGUACAGAAGAGGAAAGUGGAAUUCCACGUGUAGCGGUGAAAUGCGUAGAGAUGUGGAGGAACACCAGUGGCGAAGGCGACUUUCUGGUCUGUAACUGACGCUGAGGCGCGAAAGCGUGGGGAGCAAACAGGAUUAGAUACCCUGGUAGUCCACGCCGUAAACGAUGAGUGCUAAGUGUUAGAGGGUUUCCGCCCUUUAGUGCUGCAGCUAACGCAUUAAGCACUCCGCCUGGGGAGUACGGUCGCAAGACUG